Molecule: ribosomal RNA, 253 nt
Filed under: uncultured bacterium
Lineage: Bacteria
Description: partial 16S ribosomal RNA
Rfam family: Bacterial small subunit ribosomal RNA
Source: RNAcentral
UACAGAGGUCUCAAGCGUUGUUCGGAUUCAUUGGGCGUAAAGGGUGCGUAGGUGGCGCGCUAAGUCAGGUGUGAAAUUUCGGAGCUUAACUCCGAAACUGCAUUUGAUACUGGCGUGCUUGAGGACUGGAGAGGAGACUGGAAUUUACGGUGUAGCAGUGAAAUGCGUAGAUAUCGUAAGGAAGACCAGUGGCGAAGGCGGGUCUCUGGACAGUUCCUGACGCUGAGGCACGAAGGUCAGGGGAGCAAACGGG